This 348-nucleotide ribosomal RNA is filed under the name uncultured bacterium. Its description in RNAcentral is "bacterial SSU rRNA". It matches the Rfam family "Bacterial small subunit ribosomal RNA", at positions 8 to 350 of the family's 1533-position model. The record is from RNAcentral.
AGAGUUUGAUCCUGGCUCAGGAUGAACGCUAGCUACAGGCUUAACACAUGCAAGUCGAGGGGCAGCAUGUUGGUUGCUUGCAACCAACGAUGGCGACCGGCGCACGGGUGAGUAACGCGUAUCCAACCUACCCUUGUCCAUCGGAUAACCCGUCGAAAGGCGGCCUAACACGAUAUGCGGUUCACAGCAGGCAUCUAACGUGAACGAAAUGUAAAGGAGAAGGAUGGGGAUGCGUCUGAUUAGCUUGUUGGCGGGGUAACGGCCACCGAAGGCUACGAUCAGUAGGGGUUCUGAGAGGAAGGUCCCCCACAUUGGAACUGAGACACGGUCCAAAAUCCUACGGGAGCA